UACGGGGGGGGCAAGCGUUGUUCGGAAUUACUGGGCGUAAAGGGCUCGUAGGCGGCCAACUAAGUCAGACGUGAAAUCCCUCGGCUUAACCGGGGAACUGCGUCUGAUACUGGAUGGCUUGAGUUUGGGAGAGGGGUGCGGAAUUCCAGGUGUAGCGGUGAAAUGCGUAGAUAUCUGGAGGAACACCGGUGGCGAAGGCGGCAUCCUGGACCAACACUGACGCUGAGUGAGCGAAAGCCAGGGGAGCAAACGGG
This 254-nucleotide ribosomal RNA is filed under the name uncultured bacterium. RNAcentral's name for it is "partial 16S ribosomal RNA". It matches the Rfam family "Bacterial small subunit ribosomal RNA", at positions 524 to 776 of the family's 1533-position model. The record is from RNAcentral.